CGGCAACAGCUCAAAUUUGAAAUCUGGCCUUUGGCCCGAGUUGUAAUUUGUAGAGGAUGCUUUUGGUGCGGUGCCUUCCGAGUUCCCUGGAACGGGACGCCUUAGAGGGUGAGAAUCCCGUCUUGGACCGGCGGUAGGGCCUGUGUAAAACUCCUUCGAC
Molecule: ribosomal RNA, 160 nt
Filed under: Orbiliaceae sp.
Lineage: Eukaryota; Fungi; Ascomycota; Orbiliomycetes; Orbiliales; Orbiliaceae
Description: partial large subunit ribosomal RNA
Rfam family: Eukaryotic large subunit ribosomal RNA
Source: RNAcentral